RNAcentral lists this long non-coding RNA (441 nucleotides) under Citrus sinensis (sweet orange). Its description in RNAcentral is "long non-coding RNA (CSIN_LNC002928)". Lineage: Eukaryota; Viridiplantae; Streptophyta; Magnoliopsida; Sapindales; Rutaceae. The record is from RNAcentral.
AUAAAUUUGUUUCCGGAGCCACAAGCAUGAUUAGCUUAUCAUUGAACAAGGCUCAAGAUAACCAUGGCCCAUAAGAGAGGAUUUAAUCGACAAUAAAUUAAAUUAACCAAUGAUCGAAGAAUAUGUCUGCAGCUAGCAAGCUGUACCGCCCACAACUUUGUUUGACUUUGACGUGAGAAAUCAUGACAGCACAAACAAAUUGGCGGUGAAAAUUAAAAAAAAAAAUUGAUAAAAUCUGAUCAUCAAAAAGAUGUCCAUUCCCUUUUACAGAUCACGAACUUCGGUCUGAUUGAUCAUUGAUCAGAACUUCAUAAGUAUCGUUAUCAUCUUCCACUGAAAGUAGUUCUAAAUUUGACUGGUACGUCGGUGGGUAAUGAACGGUUGAUGAACCAUCCACGUGUUCCACGCUUUCCUAGUCUUCCGGCAACGCCAACAACAGCA